RNAcentral lists this long non-coding RNA (296 nucleotides) under Olea europaea (common olive). RNAcentral's name for it is "long non-coding RNA (OEUR_LNC001913)". The record is from RNAcentral. Lineage: Eukaryota; Viridiplantae; Streptophyta; Magnoliopsida; Lamiales; Oleaceae.
CUGAUAUGUGUGUCUUGGUUAAGGCUUCAGAAAUUUUGGUGGAAAUAUCUGUAAGUAUAGCAUCAGAAUUAGGUGAAGAUUGGCUGGGAUCGGUGAUGAAGUUGGGGUCUUCCAUGUGUUUGUGAAAAUGUUCACAAGAACCGGGCUACAGGUAACUUGGAGAAGAGGAACCAGGACCGUGUGUCCUACUUUGAUACCAUGUCACAAUACACACAAGAGGUAAUUUUCAUUCAUACAUUCAAUAGGUGGGUUACAGAGUUUAUAUAGGAAAAAAAAAACUCCUAAUUUUGGAUAAU